RNAcentral lists this long non-coding RNA (261 nucleotides) under Vigna radiata. RNAcentral describes it as "long non-coding RNA (VRAD_LNC008411)". The record is from RNAcentral. Lineage: Eukaryota; Viridiplantae; Streptophyta; Magnoliopsida; Fabales; Fabaceae.
GAAGUGAAGUAGGAAGGACUUAGACUCAAGAAAGAAGAAGAAAAAGGAAGAAAAGAAGAGUCAAUGCACCGUUGAACGUCAAAAUCCAACGCUGAGCGUCAUAUUCGAGAGAGAAGACACUAUCUGGUGCCCAGGCGUUGAAGCUGAGCGGUUCUUCGAUUAGUGUCAAACGAACCGCUGAGCGGUGGCGCGAUUAAGGGGAAACCGCUCAGUGGCCAAAUUAGACGUUGAGCAGUUGUUGUGGGGAACAAUCGGUAUCGU